RNAcentral lists this ribosomal RNA (21 nucleotides) under Battarrea phalloides. RNAcentral describes it as "partial 28S ribosomal RNA". The record is from RNAcentral. Lineage: Eukaryota; Fungi; Basidiomycota; Agaricomycetes; Agaricales; Agaricaceae.
CAAAUCAGGUAGACUACCCGC